This 253-nucleotide ribosomal RNA is filed under the name uncultured bacterium. RNAcentral's name for it is "partial 16S ribosomal RNA". It matches the Rfam family "Bacterial small subunit ribosomal RNA", at positions 524 to 776 of the family's 1533-position model. The record is from RNAcentral.
UACGGAGGGAGCUAGCGUUGUUCGGAAUUACUGGGCGUAAAGCGCGCGUAGGCGGCUUUGUAAGUUAGAGGUGAAAGCCCGGAGCUCAACUCCGGAACUGCCUUUAAAACUGCAUCGCUUGAAUCCAGGAGAGGUGAGUGGAAUUCCGAGUGUAGAGGUGAAAUUCGUAGAUAUUCGGAAGAACACCAGUGGCGAAGGCGGCUCACUGGACUGGUAUUGACGCUGAGGAGCGAAAGCGUGGGGAGCGAACAGG